Molecule: ribosomal RNA, 433 nt
Filed under: uncultured bacterium
Lineage: Bacteria
Description: partial 16S ribosomal RNA
Rfam family: Bacterial small subunit ribosomal RNA
Source: RNAcentral
AACGAACGCUGGCGGCAUGCCUAACACAUGCAAGUCGAACGAGACCUUCGGGUCUAGUGGCGCAUGGGUGCGUAACGCGUGGGAACCUGCCCUUAGGUUCGGAAUAACUCCCCGAAAGGGGUGCUAAUACCGGAUAAUGUCUUCGGACCAAAGAUUUAUCGCCUUUGGAUGGGCCCGCGUUGGAUUAGCUAGUUGGUAGGGUAAAAGCCUACCAAGGCGACGAUCCAUAGCUGGUCUGAGAGGAUGAUCAGCCACACUGGGACUGAGACACGGCCCAGACUCCUACGGGAGGCAGCAGUGGGGAAUAUUGGACAAUGGGCGAAAGCCUGAUCCAGCAAUGCCGCGUGAGUGAUGAAGGCCUUAGGGUUGUAAAGCUCUUUUACCCGGGAUGAUAAUGACGGUACCGGGAGAAUAAGCUCCGGCUAACUCCGUG